CAGCCGCCACGGUAAUACGUAGGGUGCGAGCGUUAAUCGGAAUUACUGGGCGUAAAGCGGGCGCAGACGGUUACUUAAGCAGGAUGUGAAAUCCCCGGGCUCAACCUGGGAAUUGCGUUCUGAACUGGGUGGCUAGAGUGUGUCAGAGGGGGGUAGAAUUCCACGUGUAGCAGUGAAAUGCGUAGAGAUGUGGAGGAAUACCGAUGGCGAAGGCAGCCCCCUGGGCCAAUACUGACGCUCAUGCACGAAAGCGUGGGGAGCAAACAGGAUUAGAUACCCGUGUAGUCCCUGUCUCUUAUAC
RNAcentral lists this ribosomal RNA (301 nucleotides) under uncultured bacterium. Its description in RNAcentral is "partial 16S ribosomal RNA". It matches the Rfam family "Bacterial small subunit ribosomal RNA", at positions 509 to 807 of the family's 1533-position model. The record is from RNAcentral.